AACGGAAAUGAUUGAAGUUUACUUUGGUCAUUUUAGUGGCGGACGGGUGAGUAACACGUGAGCAACCUGCCUUUCAGAGGGGGAUAACGUUUGGAAACGAACGCUAAUACCGCAUAACGUAUACGGAUGGCAUCGUCUGUAUACCAAAGGAGGAAUCCGCUGAAAGAUGGGCUCGCGUCCGAUUAGCUGGAUGGUGAGGUAACGGCCCACCAUGGCGACGAUCGGUAGCCGGACUGAGAGGUUGACCGGCCACAUUGGGACUGAGACACGGCCCAGACUCC
RNAcentral lists this ribosomal RNA (281 nucleotides) under uncultured Oscillospiraceae bacterium. RNAcentral describes it as "partial 16S ribosomal RNA". It matches the Rfam family "Bacterial small subunit ribosomal RNA", at positions 65 to 339 of the family's 1533-position model. Lineage: Bacteria; Bacillati; Bacillota; Clostridia; Eubacteriales; Oscillospiraceae. The record is from RNAcentral.